Peromyscus leucopus (white-footed mouse) is the source of this 102-nucleotide small nuclear RNA. Lineage: Eukaryota; Metazoa; Chordata; Mammalia; Rodentia; Cricetidae. The record is from RefSeq and is a predicted model, not a curated record.
GAAAUCGACAGCACAUAUACUAAAACUAGAACCAUACAGAGAAGAUUAGCGUGGCCCCUGCACAAGGAUGACACCCAAAUUCGUGAAAUGUUCCUCAUUUAA